Molecule: ribosomal RNA, 207 nt
Filed under: uncultured bacterium
Lineage: Bacteria
Description: partial 16S ribosomal RNA
Rfam family: Bacterial small subunit ribosomal RNA
Source: RNAcentral
CGCGCAGGCGGUCUGAUAAGUUGGAUGUGAAAGCCUACGGCUCAACCGUAGAACUGCAUCCAAAACUGUCAGACUAGAGUCUGGGAGGGGAAGAUGGAAUUAGUUGUGUAGGGGUAAAAUCCGUAGAGAUAACUAGGAAUACCAAAAGCGAAGGCGAUCUUCUGGAACAGUACUGACGCUGAGGCGCGAAAGCGUGGGGAGCAAACA